ACGCCAGUCUGCAUGGAGCCGACCUUGAAAUACCACCCUUUAAUGUUUGAUGUUCUAACGUGGACCCGUAAUCCGGGUUGCGGACAGUGUCUGGUGGGUAGUUUGACUGGGGCGGUCUCCUCCUAAAGAGUAACGGAGGAGCACGAAGGUUGGCUAAUCCUGGUCGGACAUCAGGAGGUUAGUGCAAUGGCAUAAGCCAGCUUGACUGCGAGCGUGACGGCGCGAGCAGGUGCGAAAGCAGGUCAUAGUGAUCCGGUGGUUCUGAAUGGAAGGGCCAUCGCUCAACGGAUAAAAGGUACUCCGGGGAUAACAGGCUGAUACCGCCCAAGAGUUCAUAUCGACGGCGGUGUUUGGCACCUCGAUGUCGGCUCAUCACAUCCUGGGGCUGAAGUAGGUCCCAAGGGUAUGGCUGUUCGCCAUUUAAAGUGGUACGCGAGCUGGGUUUAGAACGUCGUGAGACAGUUCGGUCCCUAUCUGCCGUGGGCGCUGGAGAACUGAGGGGGGCUGCUCCUAGUACGAGAGGACCGGAGUGGACGCAUCACUGGUGUUCGGGUUGUCAUGCCAAUGGCACUGCCCGGUAGCUAAAUGCGGAAGAGAUAAGUGCUGAAAGCAUCUAAGCACGAAACUUGCCCCGAGAUGAGUUCUCCCUGAGACUUAGAGUCUCCUGAAGGAACGUUGAAGACGACGACGUUGAUAGGCCGGGUGUGUAAGCGCAGCGAUGCGUUGAGCUAACCGGUACUAAUGAACCGUGAGGCUUAACCUUAC
This 765-nucleotide ribosomal RNA is filed under the name Salmonella enterica subsp. enterica serovar Thompson. Its description in RNAcentral is "partial 23S ribosomal RNA". It matches the Rfam family "Bacterial large subunit ribosomal RNA", at positions 2168 to 2925 of the family's 2925-position model. Lineage: Bacteria; Pseudomonadati; Pseudomonadota; Gammaproteobacteria; Enterobacterales; Enterobacteriaceae. The record is from RNAcentral. RNAcentral also lists the same sequence under 1 other name.